This 550-nucleotide ribosomal RNA is filed under the name uncultured bacterium. RNAcentral describes it as "bacterial SSU rRNA". It matches the Rfam family "Bacterial small subunit ribosomal RNA", at positions 355 to 896 of the family's 1533-position model. The record is from RNAcentral.
UAGGGAAUCUUCCGCAAUGGACGCAAGUCUGACGGAGCAACGCCGCGUGAGUGAAGAAGGUUUUCGGAUCGUAAAGCUCUGUUGUUAGAGAAGAACAAGUGCUAGAGUAACUGUUAGCGCCUUGACGGUAUCUAACCAGAAAGCCACGGCUAACUACGUGCCAGCAGCCGCGGUAAUACGUAGGUGGCAAGCGUUGUCCGGAUUUAUUGGGCGUAAAGCGAGCGCAGGCGGUUCCUUAAGUCUGAUGUGAAAGCCCCCGGCUCAACCGGGGAGGGUCAUUGGAAACUGGGGAACUUGAGUGCAGAAGAGGAGAGUGGAAUUCCAUGUGUAGCGGUGAAAUGCGUAGAUAUAUGGAGGAACACCAGUGGCGAAGGCGACUCUCUGGUCUGUAACUGACGCUGAGGCUCGAAAGCGUGGGUAGCAAACAGGAUUAGAUACCCUGGUAGUCCACGCCGUAAACGAUGAGUGCUAAGUGUUGGAGGGUUUCCGCCCUUCAGUGCUGCAGUUAACGCAUUAAGCACUCCGCCUGGGGAGUACGACCGCAAGGUUG